UAGCUAGUAAUCAAAAUAGUAUAUUUUGGAUUCCCCAAAACCACAUUUUUGAUGAAAAAAGCCCAACAACCCAGAACCAACAUACUUCAAAAAGUAGAUCCCAAACUUCUUCAACUCUGCUUGAUAAAUUUGUGCAGUAUGAUCAAGAUGCUAGGGCUGGUAUAAUUGGGCUCAGCCUGAGCCAUAGAAAGGAAUACACUGCAACCUCAAGUAUAAGAAACACAGUUUCUUUAGGUAGAGCAUCUUCAAUGCCUCCUCCUUUAUGCUCACUGUGUCAACACAAGGCUCCAGUUUUUGGAAAACCU
RNAcentral lists this unclassified non-coding RNA (305 nucleotides) under Hevea brasiliensis (rubber tree). Lineage: Eukaryota; Viridiplantae; Streptophyta; Magnoliopsida; Malpighiales; Euphorbiaceae. The record is from RNAcentral.